Molecule: ribosomal RNA, 355 nt
Filed under: uncultured Olsenella sp.
Lineage: Bacteria; Bacillati; Actinomycetota; Coriobacteriia; Coriobacteriales; Atopobiaceae
Description: bacterial SSU rRNA
Rfam family: Bacterial small subunit ribosomal RNA
Source: RNAcentral
AAUACCGGAUACUCCAUAUAUAUCGCAUGAUGUAUAUGGGAAAAGCUCCGACGGGCAAAGGGAUGGGGCCCGCGGCCUGUUUAGCUAGUUGGUGGGGUAACGGCCUACCCAAGGCCAAUGAUGGGUAGCCGGGUUGAGAGACCGACCGGCCAGAUUGGGACUGAGACACGGCCCAGACUCCUACGGGAGGCAGCAGUGGGGAAUCUUGCACAAUGGGCGAAAGCCUGAUGCAGCGACGCCGCGUGCGGGAUGAAGGCCUUCGGGUCGUAAACCGCUUUCAGCAGGGACGAGGCCGCAAGGUGACGGUACCUGCAGAAGAAGCCCCGGCUAACUACGUGCCAGCAGCCGCGGUAAU